Long non-coding RNA from Dalotia coriaria, 838 nucleotides. RefSeq lists it as uncharacterized. NCBI's taxonomy places the organism in Eukaryota, Metazoa, Arthropoda, Insecta, Coleoptera, Staphylinidae. The transcript is spliced from 2 exons. The record is from RefSeq and is a predicted model, not a curated record.
UCCUGCUUGUUGUAAAACGCGGAGUAUGCUAAUACGCGAGCAAUACGAAUAACAUGCUAUCUGCUGUUGAUAUCUUCCUGCCACGAGUACGUAUCCGUUCGAGUACAUAGAAAACUACUUAUUAUCGAAGCACAUUGAAGGCGCUCAGUGUAUUUAUUGUCGGAGGGGAAAUAAAGUGAAAAAAGAGACGUGGUGCCACGACCUGCGCGCUAUAAAUGUUGAAAUGUCGAAAACGUUUGAACGGAGUGAGUGCAUUUGGUAAUUAAAAGUAUAUCACGAGUCUAUCGCUGUGCCUCCUUUUCUACUCGUACAGCGGUUGUUGUCUAUACAUGUACCUACUUUACAUAUUGUGUACAUACUGGGCAGUACUCGAGGAACCGAGAAUAAAACAUCGAAAAAACAACGAGUGCUAAUUAUUCAUAUAUCCACAUUCGAGCGGCCGCAGCAGGAGCGCAGCCAGUUCGCGAAAUAUUCCGCGAAUCGAGGCGACAAAGACUUGUUUGGUAACUAGGCAUUCUAGCCGCGGCGAUUGAAAUAUUUAUGAAUGGAUGAAUUCGUUAAUGGAGGUCUAUACCAGCGAGAAGGACGCGCCAACGAAUCGUCGAGAAAGUGGGACGGAGAAUAAUACACUUACCAGAAACUUCGCCAUGUUGAAAAACCAGCUGCUUGAAGUGGUAGACUCACUGCAAGUCCUUCUGGAAAAUUCUGUAUGCCGAUACCAAUAGCCAAAUUUCUGCAAACAAGAAAAAAAACAUAAUUAUCAUCGUAUUCAUGCAAAGUUUUAUUACAGUGUGACAUAAGAGACUUGUUCAUAAAAUGCUAGAUAUUGAAUCCUUUA